AACGAACGCUGGCGGCAUGCCUAACACAUGCAAGUCGAACGAGACCUUCGGGUCUAGUGGCGCACGGGUGCGUAACGCGUGGGAACCUGCCCUUAGGUUCUGAAUAACUCCCCGAAAGGGGUGCUAAUACCGGAUAAUGUCUUCGGACCAAAGAUUUAUCGCCUUUGGAUGGGCCCGCGUUGGAUUAGCUAGUUGGUAGGGUAAAAGCCUACCAAGGCGACGAUCCAUAGCUGGUCUGAGAGGAUGAUCAGCCACACUGGGACUGAGACACGGCCCAGACUCCUACGGGAGGCAGCAGUGGGGAAUAUUGGACAAUGGGCGAAAGCCUGAUCCAGCAAUGCCGCGUGAGUGAUGAAGGCCUUAGGGUUGUAAAGCUCUUUUACCCGGGAUGAUAAUGACAGUACCGGGAGAAUAAGCUCCGGCUAACUCCGU
Molecule: ribosomal RNA, 432 nt
Filed under: uncultured bacterium
Lineage: Bacteria
Description: partial 16S ribosomal RNA
Rfam family: Bacterial small subunit ribosomal RNA
Source: RNAcentral